Molecule: ribosomal RNA, 253 nt
Filed under: uncultured bacterium
Lineage: Bacteria
Description: partial 16S ribosomal RNA
Rfam family: Bacterial small subunit ribosomal RNA
Source: RNAcentral
UACGUAGGGUGUAAGCGUUGUCCGGAAUUAUUGGGCGUAAAGAGCUUGUAGGCGGUUUGUCGCGUCUGCUGUGAAAUUUCGGGGCUCAACCCCGAACUUGCAGUGGGUACGGGCAGACUAGAGUGUGGUAGGGGAGACUGGAAUUCCUGGUGUAGCGGUGAAAUGCGCAGAUAUCAGGAGGAACACCGAUGGCGAAGGCAGGUCUCUGGACAGUUCCUGACGCUGAGGCACGAAGGCCAGGGGAGCAAACGGG